Molecule: long non-coding RNA, 1658 nt
Filed under: Homo sapiens (human)
Lineage: Eukaryota; Metazoa; Chordata; Mammalia; Primates; Hominidae
Description: non-protein coding lnc-DQX1-1:2
Source: RNAcentral
GCCGGGCGCGAAAAUGGCGGCGGCGGCGACGGCCGGGCGCUCCUGAAGCAGCAGUUAUGGAGCUUCCCUCAGGGCCGGGGCCGGAGCGGCUCUUUGACUCGCACCGGCUUCCGGGUGACUGCUUCCUACUGCUCGUGCUGCUGCUCUACGCGCCAGUCGGGUUCUGCCUCCUCGUCCUGCGCCUCUUUCUCGGGAUCCACGUCUUCCUGGUCAGCUGCGCGCUGCCAGACAGCGUCCUUCGCAGAUUCGUAGUGCGGACCAUGUGUGCGGUGCUAGGGCUCGUGGCCCGGCAGGAGGACUCCGGACUCCGGGAUCACAGUGUCAGGGUCCUCAUUUCCAACCAUGUGACACCUUUCGACCACAACAUAGUCAAUUUGCUUACCACCUGUAGCACCGUGAGUGAGAGCGAGGCCGAGAGCGCCACGGGGCGGUUCCCUGGGGCCCAGCUGAAGGCCCCCCUGUCCCCACUCGCGUUCCCCAUGGAGGAUACUGAGCCUUACCCCUAACCCCGAUCCUCUACCCAACAUGUCAGUUUUUUUUUUCAUUUUCCUCAAUAUUUUUCUUCUUGCUUUCUCUUCUCCUGGUUCCCAGCCUCUACUCAAUAGUCCCCCCAGCUUUGUGUGCUGGUCUCGGGGCUUCAUGGAGAUGAAUGGGCGGGGGGAGUUGGUGGAGUCACUCAAGAGAUUCUGUGCUUCCACGAGGCUUCCCCCCACUCCUCUGCUGCUAUUCCCUGAGGAAGAGGCCACCAAUGGCCGGGAGGGGCUCCUGCGCUUCAGUUCCUGGCCAUUUUCUAUCCAAGAUGUGGUACAACCUCUUACCCUGCAAGUUCAGAGACCCCUGGUCUCUGUGACGGUGUCAGAUGCCUCCUGGGUCUCAGAACUGCUGUGGUCACUUUUCGUCCCUUUCACGGUGUAUCAAGUAAGGUGGCUUCGUCCUGUUCAUCGCCAACUAGGGGAAGCGAAUGAGGAGUUUGCACUCCGUGUACAACAGCUGGUGGCCAAGGAAUUGGGCCAGACAGGGACACGGCUCACUCCAGCUGACAAAGCAGAGCACAUGAAGCGACAAAGACACCCCAGAUUGCGCCCCCAGUCAGCCCAGUCUUCUUUCCCUCCCUCCCCUGGUCCUUCUCCUGAUGUGCAACUGGCAACUCUGGCUCAGAGAGUCAAGGAAGUUUUGCCCCAUGUGCCAUUGGGUGUCAUCCAGAGAGACCUGGCCAAGACUGGCUGUGUAGACUUGACUAUCACUAAUCUGCUUGAGGGGGCCGUAGCUUUCAUGCCUGAAGACAUCACCAAGGGAACUCAGUCCCUACCCACAGCCUCUGCCUCCAAGGCAUUCGAUGCGUGUUUAAUGAUGAUGACUCCGCAAGCCCUCUGACAUUGUGAUCACCUCAGUUUCCCAGCUCUGGCCCGGUGACCCCUCAGCCAACAGCCCUAACAUUUGCCAAGUCUUCCUGGGCCCGGCAGGAGAGCCUGCAGGAGCGCAAGCAAGCACUAUAUGAAUACGCAAGAAGGAGAUUCACAGAGAGACGAGCCCAGGAGGCUGACUGAGCUCAAAGGAACAGGAUGGCACCCAGAGCCGCAGGACGGAGACUGGGGGCAGCCCUCACCCAACUCACAACAGGCUGGAUGGGUGGGUGGUAAAAAGGGAAGGAUGAGGCU